UCCUGCCUGCCCUGUGACUUGGAAGUUCAACGGCCGCGGUAUUUUGACCGUGCAAAGGUAGCGUAAUCACUUGUCUUUUAAAUGGAGACCAGUAUGAAUGGCAUAACGAGGGCCAAACUGUCUCCUUUUUCUAGUCAAUGAAAUUGAUCCUCCUGUGCAGAAGCAGGAAUACCCCCAUAAGACGAGAAGACCCUAUGGAGCUUUAGACACAAGACAACCCAUGUUAAAAAACUAAAUUAAUAGAAAAAACAAAAUGGCAUUUGUCCUUUUGUCUUUGGUUGGGGCGACCAUGGAGUAGCAAAAAACCCCCAUGUGGAACAGGGCCUACCCCCUUAAAACCAGAGCCACAGCUCUCACCAACAGAACAUCUGACCAACAAGAUCCGGCAAAGCCGAUCGACGGACCUAGUUACCCUAGGGAUAACAGCGCAAUCCCCUUUUAGAGCCCAUAUCGACAAGGGGGUUUACGACCUCGAUGUUGGAUCAGGACAUCCUAAUGGUGCAGCCGCUAUUAAGGGUUCGUUUGUUCAACGAUUAAAGUCCUACGUGAU
This 550-nucleotide ribosomal RNA is filed under the name Taenioides sp. Gracilis TK-2011. RNAcentral's name for it is "partial 16S rRNA". It matches the Rfam family "Bacterial large subunit ribosomal RNA", at positions 1853 to 2604 of the family's 2925-position model. Lineage: Eukaryota; Metazoa; Chordata; Actinopteri; Gobiiformes; Gobiidae. The record is from RNAcentral.